RNAcentral lists this ribosomal RNA (936 nucleotides) under Triticum aestivum (bread wheat). RNAcentral's name for it is "partial small subunit ribosomal RNA". The record is from RNAcentral. Lineage: Eukaryota; Viridiplantae; Streptophyta; Magnoliopsida; Poales; Poaceae.
AUGCCCUCGAGGAAUACCCUUAGAUUACGAUCCGACGAGCCACCUUUCCCCAGAGCCUCUACGACCGCCGCCUUCCACUCUGACGCCGCACGCCGUGCGCCCCCCGCGGCCUCGCCCUCCCGCAUCACCUCCUCUACACGCCGCCUCACCUCGGCCGCGCGAAGCACGCCGUCGCCACCCACCUCCGCGCGCGCUCCGACGCGCCACUCGCACUCGACGAGCCACGCGUUCAUCCGCUGGUCCGACAUCUUUGGCACGCACACCAUCGGCACGCCGCACGCCACGCUCUCCAUCACGGAGUUCCACCCGCAGUGCGUCACGAAGCAACCCACCGCCGCGUGCAACAGCACACGCACCUGGUCUCACCACUCCACCACCAUGCCGUUCUUGAGUGGCGCGUCCAUCUCCGUCUCCGACGCCUCGCCAUCCGCGAGCUCCGCCUUGAUGUCCUUCCGGACGACGCACAGGUACGGCCUCCCGGUCUCCUCGAGUCCGAGGAGCAGUUCGUCGAGCUGCUCCCUCUCCAUCCUCGCCAGGCUCCCGAACGCGACGUACACCACGGAAUCGGCCGGUUUGGCGUCGAGCCACUCCAUGUACUUGACGCCGUCCUGCUUGAAGAGGCCGGCCUCGUCGCCGGACGGGAGCACCGGGCCGAUCGGCAGCGCGUCGUACGCUCCCACCGCGGCGAGCGCGCCCUCCUCGAGUUCCUGGCACGUGUUGACGAGCACGGUGGCUCUGGGGGUCUCCCUGUCGAGCGUGUCGAACAGGUCGCGGACGGUAGUGUACACGCUGUGGAAGAAGUCGGACGGAUCGGUGGACUCGGUGAGGAAGGACGGGAGGUCCCGCACGGCCUGCGGCGGUAGGCCCGGGAACCGCACGAGGAACGACGGGUCAUGGCGGUGGUCGGCCACGACGGCGGCGUGGCCAUGGAAGUAG